Molecule: long non-coding RNA, 758 nt
Filed under: Nicotiana tabacum (common tobacco)
Lineage: Eukaryota; Viridiplantae; Streptophyta; Magnoliopsida; Solanales; Solanaceae
Description: long non-coding RNA (NTAB_LNC015430)
Source: RNAcentral
UCACUGAAGAUUUUCGGAAAAGAAAUGCAAUUUAUUAGGAAUCUCAUCUUUUUUUCCAAAGAAAGAAACUGGGAAACAAACAUCAACCAAAUAUGAACGCUUUCAAUAGGACCGACCAGUGUCAUAUAUGCCUUUACCUCAAAACGUGGGUCACGCCAAAAUGCACCAUAUCCAUUUGGUGGAUAAUUCUGUUGCAUAAAACCAUAAAGCAUAGUGCCAUCACAAAAUUGACCAACAAAAAAAGAAAAUUAAAUAACUAAAAAAGAAAAAGCAAAGAAAAUGACAAAAAUAAGGACAAAGGUGGAUAAAUACAAGGAACAUCUAAUCAGUUGCUGUCGCAACUUGCAAAAGACGCAGUCGUUUUUAACGUCCAGCUUAUUAAAACGAUGCCGUUUAUAUCUUCUCUUCCCAACUUAUCGUCUCUUCCUUCUUCCUCAAUCCAUUUCAACUGUUGCAGAGAGAGAAAGAUAAGAAAGAGACUUUUAAUAAAAAAAUAAAGAUAUUUUCAUUACCUUGCCGACCAUACAUAAAAAUAUCUACUCCAAUAAGUUCAUGACCGGAAAAAGGUCAAAAGUACGAAAAAGCCACCGCCUUUCUCCUCGAUUUUCUCUUUUUCUUCACAGACAGCUUCUUAUCUGAGGGUAAAAGCGACUUACCACUUCGAUCACCAGCUCCGGUAACUUGUGCCACUGGGAUGUAAAUCGGAGCUUCGGUUUUCUUUAAGAGUGCAGCUGAAUCUGAGUUAACAAACGAAAUGG